AUUGAACGCUGGCGGCAUGCUUUACACAUGCAAGUCGAGCGGCAGCGCGGGCUUCGGCCUGGCGGCGAGUGGCGAACGGGUGAGUAAUGCAUCGGAACGUGCCCAGUAGUGGGGGAUAGCCCGGCGAAAGCCGGAUUAAUACCGCAUACGACCUGAGGGUGAAAGCGGGGGACCGAAAGGCCUCGCGCUAUUGGAGCGGCCGAUGUCGGAUUAGCUAGUUGGUGGGGUAAAGGCUUACCAAGGCGACGAUCCGUAGCUGGUCUGAGAGGACGACCAGCCACACUGGGACUGAGACACGGCCCAGACUCCUACGGGGGGCAGCAGUGGGGAAUUUUGGACAAUGGGGGCAACCCUGAUCCAGCCAUGCCGCGUGCGGGAAGAAGGCCUUCGGGUUGUAAACCGCUUUUGUUCGGGAAGAAAUCCUCUGGGCUAAUACCCCGGGGGGAUGACGGUACCGGAAGAAUAAGCACCGGCUAACUACGUG
RNAcentral lists this ribosomal RNA (484 nucleotides) under uncultured bacterium. RNAcentral describes it as "partial 16S ribosomal RNA". It matches the Rfam family "Bacterial small subunit ribosomal RNA", at positions 28 to 507 of the family's 1533-position model. The record is from RNAcentral.